This 274-nucleotide ribosomal RNA is filed under the name uncultured bacterium. RNAcentral describes it as "partial 16S ribosomal RNA". It matches the Rfam family "Bacterial small subunit ribosomal RNA", at positions 523 to 796 of the family's 1533-position model. The record is from RNAcentral.
AUACGGAGGGUGCAAGCGUUAAUCGGAAUUACUGGGCGUAAAGCGCGCGUAGGCGGAUUGUUAAGUCUCAUGUGAAAGCCCUGGGCUCAACCUGGGAACUGCAUGGGAUACUGGAAAUCUAGAAUACAGUAGAGGGUAGUGGAAUUUCAGGUGUAGCGGUGAAAUGCGUAGAGAUCUGAAGGAACAUCAGUGGCGAAGGCGACUACCUGGACUGAUAUUGACGCUGAGGUGCGAAAGCGUGGGGAGCAAACGGGAUUAGAAACCCCAGUAGUCC